Long non-coding RNA from Oncorhynchus kisutch (coho salmon), 1582 nucleotides. RefSeq lists it as uncharacterized. The transcript has 3 exons. Lineage: Eukaryota; Metazoa; Chordata; Actinopteri; Salmoniformes; Salmonidae. The record is from RefSeq and is a predicted model, not a curated record.
CAUGCGUCAUUUUUGACCUAGCGCCUUGACGUGACAUCCGAGCAGAGCAAGAGCAGAGCAGAGCAGAGCAAGAGCAGAGCAGAGCAAGAGCAGAGCAAGAGCAGAGCAGAGAAAAUCCGAAUUUUUUUUGUCGUCUCGACCAUUUUGCUUUUUAUCAAUUUGGGAAGGAAUUUGUGGUUCUGAAUUUAUAUAAUCUGUAAAUGCGCGACAUAACAGAAAAUCAUUAUACGUAGUGUAAUUAUAUUCAGCUGUGAGCGCUUUGGAAGUGUGCUGUGUUAUGAAAGUGGUUGUUUAUUUGCCUGUCAGUUUCAACAAAAUGACACGUUUAUCUAGUCUAGGUUUGUGAUAAUCCAUGUUAAAAUGGUAACAGUAAUUUGUUGAUAGAGCAAAUUGAUAGAUGUUAUGCAUGGUUUUCUCAGAUAUUUAAAUGUGACCCUUGCUCUAUAGAUGAUUUUCUGAAAAAUACGUUUGAACUACACACCCUGGCUGCCACUUCUCUGCACAUUCUCAAGAAUGUUAUCUACAAUCUUUUCGAGUAGGCUACAUCAAGAGAUUGGAUGACUUGCAUCAUUGCUUGCAUCAAUACAACUCUCCACUCAUCCCCUGUUAUUUCCACUCUUUCUUCUAGGGAAGCAUAACGUGCCUUAGACAGAAUCAGUGUCACCAACUACACAGAGGAAAGUAUGAGCAAGAUGGACAAAAGCAGUUCCUCUGGAUGUACACAGGAGGAAAAUGUCCUUCAGCUGGAAAGACAUGGUCAUGUUCCUUGAGGGAGAGGCCUCCUAGCAUUGAAAGUACGGUAUGCAAUAAGAAUUGAGCAGUAAAGGAAGGCUAACCUAUAUCAGAGCCUUUUAUGUGUAAAUAGGUUAUGUAAAGAAACACUGACAAUGGUGACUGACUGUUAGACUUAUUCUUAGAGGAGUAUCUACCAUGGUGGAUAAAUGAAGAUAUCCCAUAAAGGCUGUUUACCAUUAAAAAAGGUAGGUCACAGUUCCGGUCUACUUAAGGAGUGGCUCUCCCAUACGCACCAAUGCAAUAGCAGCGUCUGGUCUAGUUAGUUCAUUGACUGUGUAUAAACCAGAAAAAUAUCUUGCUUGCUCUUCCGUCUCAGGUAUCUACCACAAAUCAUGUGACAAUAUUUUUGCCCACAAUUCCAGAACAACACACGCUCGUUCUUUAAUGUCCGGAGCACAUCUUUGCUUGGCAGCCCGGCUAAGACCUGUCCACGGAGUAGAUGUGUGAGGUCACGUUCAGACGCUGUAAACAGCUGUUCCGGUAUGACUUCCUGACACACGAUGACAUCAUGGGGCAGUCGUGGAGGACAGUGGUGCUGAAUGACUGUCUGGGCAUGUAUGACUGGCCCCUGGGUGCCAGUAUUUGAAUCCUUAACAAAUGGAUGUUUGGUGGGACAGUGGCCAACUCCAGAUCCCAGAGACUUGGCCGAGUCAGAGACCCCAAGACUGCUGGUGAUGCCAGGAGUGAUGGUAGGAGAAACGGGGGAAAAACUGGGUGAGAACGGACUGGACAAUGAACAGGUUCAAUACCAUUUGUUUUUAUAGAAAAUAAAAUGCCUUUCAUCACA